UUUGAUCCUGGCUCAGGAUGAACGCUAGCGGCAGGCUUAACNCAUGCAAGUCGAGGGGUAACAUUGGUGCUUGCACCAGAUGACGACCGGCGCACGGGUGCGUAACGCGUAUACAAUCUACCUUAUACUGGGGGAUAGCCUUUGGAAACGAAGAUUAAUACCCCAUAGUACUUAUUUUUGGCAUCAUUAAUAAGUUAAAGGUUACGGUAUAAGAUGAGUAUGCGUCCUAUUAGUUUGUAGGUGAGGUAACGGCUCACCUAGACUUCGAUAGGUAGGGGCCCUGAGAGGGGGANCCCCCACACUGGUACUGAGACACGGACCAGACUCCUACGGGAGGCAGCAGUGAGGAAUAUUGGACAAUGGAGGAGACNCUGAUCCAGCCAUGCCGCGUGCAGGAAGACGGCCCUAUGGGUUGUAAACUGCUUUUAUACAGGAAGAAACNGUCCCUCGUGAGGGAUCUUGACGGUACUGUAAGAAUAAGGACCGGCUAACUCCGUGCCAGCAGCCGCGGUAAUAAGGG
This 520-nucleotide ribosomal RNA is filed under the name uncultured Ulvibacter sp. RNAcentral's name for it is "bacterial SSU rRNA". It matches the Rfam family "Bacterial small subunit ribosomal RNA", at positions 12 to 529 of the family's 1533-position model. Lineage: Bacteria; Pseudomonadati; Bacteroidota; Flavobacteriia; Flavobacteriales; Flavobacteriaceae. The record is from RNAcentral.